RNAcentral lists this ribosomal RNA (2133 nucleotides) under Listeria monocytogenes. RNAcentral describes it as "partial 23S ribosomal RNA". It matches the Rfam family "Bacterial large subunit ribosomal RNA", at positions 799 to 2925 of the family's 2925-position model. Lineage: Bacteria; Bacillati; Bacillota; Bacilli; Caryophanales; Listeriaceae. The record is from RNAcentral.
CGGGGAUGAGGUGUGGGUAGCGGAGAAAUUCCAAUCGAACUUGGAGAUAGCUGGUUCUCUCCGAAAUAGCUUUAGGGCUAGCCUCGAGGUAAAGAGUCAUGGAGGUAGAGCACUGUUUGGACUAGGGGCCCUUCUCGGGUUACCGAAUUCAGAUAAACUCCGAAUGCCAUGUACUUAUACUCGGGAGUCAGACUGCGAGUGAUAAGAUCCGUAGUCGAAAGGGAAACAGCCCAGACCACCAGUUAAGGUCCCCAAAUAUAUGUUAAGUGGAAAAGGAUGUGGGGUUGCUUAGACAACCAGGAUGUUGGCUUAGAAGCAGCCACCAUUGAAAGAGUGCGUAAUAGCUCACUGGUCGAGUGACCCCGCGCCGAAAAUGUACCGGGGCUAAACAUAUUACCGAAACUGUGGAUGAACCUCUUUAGAGGUUCGUGGUAGGAGAGCGUUCUAAGGGCGGUGAAGUCAGACCGGAAGGACUGGUGGAGCGCUUAGAAGUGAGAAUGCCGGUAUGAGUAGCGAAAGAAGGGUGAGAAUCCCUUCCACCGAAUAUCUAAGGUUUCCUGAGGAAGGCUCGUCCGCUCAGGGUUAGUCGGGACCUAAGCCGAGGCCGAUAGGCGUAGGCGAUGGACAACAGGUAGAGAUUCCUGUACCAGUGCUAAUUGUUUAACCGAUGGGGUGACACAGAAGGAUAGGGAAUCGCACGAAUGGAAAUGUGCGUCCAAGCAGUGAGUGUGAGAAGUAGGCAAAUCCGCUUCUCGCGAAGCAUGAGCUGUGAUGGGGAAGGAAAUUAAGUACGGAAGUUCCUGAUUUCACGCUGUCAAGAAAAGCCUCUAGGAAGAGUAGUACUGCCCGUACCGCAAACCGACACAGGUAGAUGAGGAGAGAAUCCUAAGGUGAGCGAGAGAACUCUCGUUAAGGAACUCGGCAAAAUGACCCCGUAACUUCGGGAGAAGGGGUGCUCUAUUAGGGUGCAAGCCCGAGAGAGCCGCAGUGAAUAGGCCCAGGCGACUGUUUAGCAAAAACACAGGUCUCUGCAAAACCGUAAGGUGACGUAUAGGGGCUGACGCCUGCCCGGUGCUGGAAGGUUAAGAGGAGUGCUUAGCUUCGGCGAAGGUACGAAUUGAAGCCCCAGUAAACGGCGGCCGUAACUAUAACGGUCCUAAGGUAGCGAAAUUCCUUGUCGGGUAAGUUCCGACCCGCACGAAAGGCGCAACGAUCUGGGCACUGUCUCAACGAGAGACUCGGUGAAAUUAUAGUACCUGUGAAGAUGCAGGUUACCCGCGACAGGACGGAAAGACCCCGUGGAGCUUUACUGCAACCUGAUAUGGAAUGUUUGUACCGCUUGUACAGGAUAGGUAGGAGCCGAAGAGACGUGUGCGCUAGCAUACGAGGAGGCAAUGGUGGGAUACUACCCUGGCUGUAUGACCAUUCUAACCCGCCACGCUUAGCGCGUGGGGAGACAGUGUCAGGUGGGCAGUUUGACUGGGGCGGUCGCCUCCUAAAGAGUAACGGAGGCGCCCAAAGGUUCCCUCAGAAUGGAUGGAAAUCAUUCGCAGAGUGUAAAGGCACAAGGGAGCUUGACUGCGAGACUGACAAGUCGAGCAGGGACGAAAGUCGGGCUUAGUGAUCCGGUGGUUCCGCAUGGAAGGGCCAUCGCUCAACGGAUAAAAGCUACCCCGGGGAUAACAGGCUUAUCUCCCCCAAGAGUCCACAUCGACGGGGAGGUUUGGCACCUCGAUGUCGGCUCGUCGCAUCCUGGGGCUGUAGUCGGUCCCAAGGGUUGGGCUGUUCGCCCAUUAAAGCGGCACGCGAGCUGGGUUCAGAACGUCGUGAGACAGUUCGGUCCCUAUCCGUCGCGGGCGCAGGAAAUUUGAGAGGAGCUGUCCUUAGUACGAGAGGACCGGGAUGGACACACCGCUGGUGUACCAGUUGUUCCGCCAGGAGCAUCGCUGGGUAGCUAUGUGUGGCAGGGAUAAACGCUGAAAGCAUCUAAGCGUGAAGCCCCCCUCAAGAUGAGAUUUCCCAUUUCUUCGGAAAGUAAGAUCCCUGAAAGAUGAUCAGGUAGAUAGGUUUGGAGUGGAAGUGUAGCGAUACAUGGAGCGGACAAAUACUAAUCGAUCGAGGACUUAACCAAAA